CCUACGGGUGGCAGCAGUGAGGAAUAUUGGUCAAUGGGCGCGAGCCUGAACCAGCCAAGUCGCGUGAGGGAAGACGGUCCUAUGGAUUGUAAACCUCUUUUGUCGGGGAGCAAAAGGCGCCACGCGUGGCGUUCCGAGAGUACCCGAAGAAAAAGCAUCGGCUAACUCCGUGCCAGCAGCCGCGGUAAUACGGAGGAUGCGAGCGUUAUCCGGAUUUAUUGGGUUUAAGGGGUGCGCAGGCGGAAGAUCAAGGCAGCGGUAAAAGUGAGGGGCUAAACCGCUUCGAGCCGUUGAAACUGGUGUGCUUGAGUGAGCGGAAAGUAUGCGGAAUGCGUGGUGUAGCGGUGAAAUGCAUAGAUAUGACGCAGAACUCCGAUUGCGAAGGCAGCAUGCCGGAGCGCAACUGACGCUCAUGCACGAAAGUGUGGGUAUCGAACAGGAUUAGAUACCCUUGUAGUC
Molecule: ribosomal RNA, 459 nt
Filed under: uncultured bacterium
Lineage: Bacteria
Description: partial 16S ribosomal RNA
Rfam family: Bacterial small subunit ribosomal RNA
Source: RNAcentral